RNAcentral lists this ribosomal RNA (429 nucleotides) under uncultured bacterium. RNAcentral's name for it is "partial 16S ribosomal RNA". It matches the Rfam family "Bacterial small subunit ribosomal RNA", at positions 330 to 776 of the family's 1533-position model. The record is from RNAcentral.
UCCAGACUCCUACGGGAGGCAGCAGUGGGGGAUAUUGCACAAUGGGGGGAACCCUGAUGCAGCGACGCCGCGUGAGUGAAGAAGUAUUUCGGUAUGUAAAGCUCUAUCAGCAGGGAAGAAAAUGACGGUACCUGACUAAGAAGCCCCGGCUAACUACGUGCCAGCAGCCGCGGUAAUACGUAGGGGGCAAGCGUUAUCCGGAUUUACUGGGUGUAAAGGGAGCGUAGACGGUAGAGCAAGUCUGAAGUGAAAGCCCGCGGCUCAACUGCGGGACUGCUUUGGAAACUGUUCAACUGGAGUGCUGGAGAGGUAAGCGGAAUUCCUAGUGUAGCGGUGAAAUGCGUAGAUAUUAGGAGGAACGCCAGUGGCGAAGGCGGCUUACUGGACAGUAACUGACGUUGAGGCUCGAAAGCGUGGGGAGCAAACAGG